This 497-nucleotide ribosomal RNA is filed under the name uncultured bacterium. Its description in RNAcentral is "partial 16S ribosomal RNA". It matches the Rfam family "Bacterial small subunit ribosomal RNA", at positions 28 to 507 of the family's 1533-position model. The record is from RNAcentral.
GAUGAACGCUGGCGGCGUGCCUAAUACAUGCAAGUCGAGCGAACAGAUAAGGAGCUUGCUCCUUUGAAGUUAGCGGCGGACGGGUGAGUAACACGUGGGUAACCUACCUAUAAGACUGGGAUAACUUCGGGAAACCGGAGCUAAUACCGGAUAACAUUUAGAACCGCAUGGUUCUAAAGUGAAAGAUGGUUUUGCUAUCACUUAUAGAUGGACCCGCGCCGUAUUAGCUAGUUGGUAAGGUAACGGCUUACCAAGGCGACGAUACGUAGCCGACCUGAGAGGGUGAUCGGCCACACUGGAACUGAGACGCGGUCCAGACUCCUACGGGAGGCAGCAGUAGGGAAUCUUCCGCAAUGGGCGAAAGCCUGACGGAGCAACGCCGCGUGAGUGAUGAAGGGUUUCGGCUCGUAAAACUCUGUUAUUAGGGAAGAACAAAUGUGUAAGUAACUGUGCACAUCUUGACGGUACCUAAUCAGAAAGCCACGGCUAACUACGUG